UUAAGCGACCAAGCGUACACGGUGGAUGCCCUGGCAGUCAGAGGCGAUGAAGGACGUGCUAAUCUGCGAAAAGCGCCGGUAAGGUGAUAUGAACCGUUAUAACCGGCGAUGUCCGAAUGGGGAAACCCAGUGUGACUCGUCACACUAUCAUUAACUGAAUCCAUAGGUUAAUGAGGCGAACCGGGGGAACUGAAACAUCUAAGUACCCCGAGGAAAAGAAAUCAACCGAGAUUCCCCCAGUAGCGGCGAGCGAACGGGGAGGAGCCCAGAGCCUGAAUCAGCAUAUGUGUUAGUGGAAGCGUCUGGAAAGGCGCGCGAUACAGGGUGACAGCCCCGUACACAAAAGCGCAUAUGCUGUGAGCUCGAUGAGUAGGGCGGGACACGUGGUAUCCUGUCUGAAUAUGGGGGGACCAUCCUCCAAGGCUAAAUACUCCUGACUGACCGAUAGUGAACCAGUACCGUGAGGGAAAGGCGAAAAGAACCCCGGCGAGGGGAGUGAAACAGAACCUGAAACCGUGUACGUACAAGCAGUGGGAGCCCCACCACCAAAGCGUUUCGCUUUGCGUGGUGCGCAAAAUGCGUAACGACAGCACGAUUGCGGUUAACGGAGCGUAAGCGACGUUCAACACAAGAAUCAGGCAGUGGAGCGUUUUGGGGUGGGGUGACUGCGUACCUUUUGUAUAAUGGGUCAGCGACUUAUAUUCUGUAGCAAGGUUAACCGAAUAGGGGAGCCGCAGGGAAACCGAGUCUUAACCGGGCGUUAAGUUGCAGGGUAUAGACCCGAAACCCGGUGAUCUAGCCAUGGGCAGGUUGAAGGUUGGGUAACACUAACUGGAGGACCGAACCGACUAAUGUUGAAAAAUUAGCGGAUGACCUGUGGCUGGGGGUGAAAGGCCAAUCAAACCGGGAGAUAGCUGGUUCUCCCCGAAAGCUAUUUAGGUAGCGCCUCGUGAAUUCAUCUCCGGGGGUAGAGCACUGUUUCGGCCAGGGGGCCAUCCCGGCUUACCAACCCGAUGCAAACUGCGAAUACCGGAGAAUGUUAUCACGGGAGACACACGGCGGGUGCUAACGUCCGUCGUGAAGAGGGAAACAACCCAGACCGCCAGCUAAGGUCCCAAAGUCAUGGUUAAGUGGGAAACGAUGUGGGAAGGCCCAGACAGCCAGGAUGUUGGCUUAGAAGCAGCCAUCAUUUAAAGAAAGCGUAAUAGCUCACUGGUCGAGUCGGCCUGCGCGGAAGAUGUAACGGGGCUAAACCAUGCACCGAAGCUGCGGCAGCGACACUGUGUGUUGUUGGGUAGGGGAGCGUUCUGUAAGCCUGUGAAGGUGUGUCGUGAGGCAUGCUGGAGGUAUCAGAAGUGCGAAUGCUGACAUAAGUAACGAUAAUGCGGGUGAAAAACCCGCACGCCGGAAGACCAAGGGUUCCUGUCCAACGUUAAUCGGGGCAGGGUGAGUCGACCCCUAAGGCGAGGCCGAAAGGCGUAGUCGAUGGGAAACAGGUUAAUAUUCCUGUACCUGGUGUUACUGCGAAGGGGGGACGGAGAAGGCUAUGUUGGCCGGGCGACGGUUGUCCCGGUUUAAGCGUGUAGGCUGGUUUUCCAGGCAAAUCCGGAAAAUCAAGGCUGAGGCGUGAUGACGAGGCACUACGGUGCUGAAGCAACAAAUGCCCUGCUUCCAGGAAAAGCCUCUAAGCCUCAGGUAACAUCAGAUCGUACCCGAAACCGACACAGGUGGUCAGGUAGAGAAUACCAAGGCGCUUGAGAGAACCCGGGUGAAGGAACUAGGCAAAAUGGUGCCGUAACUUCGGGAGAAGGCACGCUGACACGUAGGUGAAGCGGUUUACCCGUGGAGCUGAAGUCAGUCGAAGAUACCAGCUGGCUGCAACUGUUUAUUAAAAACACAGCACUGUGCAAACACGAAAGUGGACGUAUACGGUGUGACGCCUGCCCGGUGCCGGAAGGUUAAUUGAUGGGGUCAGCGCAAGCGAAGCUCCUGAUCGAAGCCCCGGUAAACGGCGGCCGUAACUAUAACGGUCCUAAGGUAGCGAAAUUCCUUGUCGGGUAAGUUCCGACCUGCACGAAUGGCGUAAUGAUGGCCAGGCUGUCUCCACCCGGGACUCAGUGAAAUUGAACUCGCUGUGAAGAUGCAGUGUACCCGCGGCAAGACGGAAAGACCCCGUGAACCUUUACUAUAGCUUGACACUGAACACUGGUCCUUGAUGUGCAGGAUAGGUGGGAGGCUUUGAAGUGUGGACGCCAGUCUGCAUGGAGCCGUCCUUGAAAUACCACCCUUUAAUGGCUGGUGUUCUAACGUAGACCCGUGAACCGGGUUGCGGACAGUGUCUGGUGGGUAGUUUGACUGGGGCGGUCUCCUCCUAAAGCGUAACGGAGGAGCACGAAGGUUGGCUAAUCCUGGUCGGACAUCAGGAGGUUAGUGCAAUGGCAUAAGCCAGCUUGACUGCGAGCGUGACGGCGCGAGCAGGUGCGAAAGCAGGUCAUAGUGAUCCGGUGGUUCUGAAUGGAAGGGCCAUCGCUCAACGGAUAAAAGGUACUCCGGGGAUAACAGGCUGAUACCGCCCAAGAGUUCAUAUCGACGGCGGUGUUUGGCACCUCGAUGUCGGCUCAUCACAUCCUGGGGCUGAAGUAGGUCCCAAGGGUAUGGCUGUUCGCCAUUUAAAGUGGUACGCGAGCUGGGUUUAGAACGUCGUGAGACAGUUCGGUCCCUAUCUGCCGUGGGCGCUGGAGAACUGAGGGGGGCUGCUCCUAGUACGAGAGGACCGGAGUGGACGCAUCACUGGUGUUCGGGUUGUCAUGCCAAUGGCACUGCCCGGUAGCUAAAUGCGGAAGAGAUAAGUGCUGAAAGCAUCUAAGCACGAAACUUGCCCUGAGAUGAGUUCUCCCUGAGACUACAAGUCUCCUGAAGGAACGUUGAAGACGACGACGUUGAUAGGCCGGGUGUGUAAGCGCAGCGAUGCGUUGAGCUAACCGGUACUAAUGAACCGUGAGGCUUAACCUU
RNAcentral lists this ribosomal RNA (3012 nucleotides) under Salmonella enterica subsp. arizonae. Its description in RNAcentral is "bacterial LSU rRNA". It matches the Rfam family "Bacterial large subunit ribosomal RNA". The record is from RNAcentral. Lineage: Bacteria; Pseudomonadati; Pseudomonadota; Gammaproteobacteria; Enterobacterales; Enterobacteriaceae.